AACGAACGCUGGCGGCAUGCCUAACACAUGCAAGUCGAACGAGACCUUCGGGUCUAGUGGCGCACGGGUGCGUAACGCGUGGGAACCUGCCCUUAGGUUCGGAAUAACUCCCCGAAAGGGGUGCUAAUACCGGAUAAUGUCUUCGGACCAAAGAUUUAUCGCCUUUGGAUGGGCCCGCGUUGGAUUAGCUAGUUGGUAGGGUAAAAGCCUACCAAGGCGACGAUCCAUAGCUGGUCUGAGAGGAUGAUCAGCCACACUGGGACUGAGGCACGGCCCAGACUCCUACGGGAGGCAGCAGUGGGGAAUAUUGGACAAUGGGCGAAAGCCUGAUCCAGCAAGGCCGCGUGAGUGAUGAAGGCCUUAGGGUUGUAAAGCUCUUUUACCCGGGAUGAUAAUGACAGUACCGGGAGAAUAAGCUCCGGCUAACUCCGU
RNAcentral lists this ribosomal RNA (432 nucleotides) under uncultured bacterium. RNAcentral describes it as "partial 16S ribosomal RNA". It matches the Rfam family "Bacterial small subunit ribosomal RNA", at positions 29 to 506 of the family's 1533-position model. The record is from RNAcentral.